UCCAGACUCCUACGGGAGGCAGCAGUGGGGAAUAUUGCACAAUGGGGGGAACCCUGAUGCAGCGACGCCGCGUGGGUGAAGGAGCACCUCGGUGCGUAAAGCCCUAUCGGCAGGGAAGAAACAGACGGUACCUGACUAAGAAGCCCCGGCUAACUACGUGCCAGCAGCCGCGGGAAUACGUAUGGAGCAAGCGUUAUCCGGAAUUACUGGGUGUAAAGGGAGCGUAGGCGGCAAGGCAAGUCUGAUGUGAAAACCCAGGGCCCAACCCUGGGACUGCAUUGGGAACUGUAUUGCUUGAGUACCGGAGAGGCAGGCGGAAUUCCUAGUGUAGCGGUGAAAUGCGUAGAUAUUAGGAGGAACACCGGCGGCGAAGGCGGCCUGCUGGACCGUAACUGACGUUGAGGCUCGAAAGCGUGGGGAGCAAACAGGAUUAGAUACCCGGGUAAAG
This 448-nucleotide ribosomal RNA is filed under the name uncultured bacterium. Its description in RNAcentral is "partial 16S ribosomal RNA". It matches the Rfam family "Bacterial small subunit ribosomal RNA", at positions 330 to 793 of the family's 1533-position model. The record is from RNAcentral.